ACAACGGAGGCGCAAGGGCUGUCGCUGACCUUCAAAGGUCGUGCACGCCCGAGCCCCUCUCACAAUCCAUCUCACCCUUUGUGCAUCACCGCGUGGGUCCCCUUUGCGGGAGGGCUCACGUUUUCACAUAAAACUCGAUACAGUGUAGAAUGUUUUAUUUUGCGGUCACACGCGAUCAAUACAACUUUCAACAACGGAUCUCUUGGCUCUCGCAUCGAUGAAGAACGCAGCGAAAUGCGAUACGUAAUGUGAAUUGCAGAAUUCAGUGAAUCAUCGAAUCUUUGAACGCACCUUGCGCCCCUUGGCAUUCCGAGGGGCACACCCGUUUGAGUGUCGUGAAAUCCUCAAAACCCCCUUCUUUGGGAGUUUUGGACUUGGAGGUUUAAUGCUCGCUUUCGCCUUUGAAGGCGAGCUCCUCUCAAACGAAUCAGUGGGGUCUGCUUUGCUGGUCCUUGACGUGAUAAGAUGUUUCUACGUUUUGGACUUGGCAUCGUUCCUGCUCCUAAUCGUCUCAUGGGACAAUGAUGGUGCUUCCGGUCACCGCCAUCCACAUUGGCGGGGGGAGGCCGGACCCACAAAAAAACCUUGA
Molecule: ribosomal RNA, 589 nt
Filed under: Russula sp. GAL15390
Lineage: Eukaryota; Fungi; Basidiomycota; Agaricomycetes; Russulales; Russulaceae
Description: eukaryotic LSU rRNA
Rfam family: 5.8S ribosomal RNA (bases 183-336)
Source: RNAcentral